CAACAUCUGUUUUUCGUGAAUAAGCAACCAGGUUUGGGGCUGAAAUAUCCUGGUGUACAUAUACAGUAUCUCACAACAUGUAUAGGACUCUAUGUUACCUUUCCUACACAAUCAUGGGAGCGGACAUAAAACUGUCCUCCUUGGAUAAGGUUGAGGGGUUUGGCGGCUGUUCGUCAUCACCGAUCUCUGUAUCCAUCUCUACGUGUUCGUAAUACGGCGGGGGGAUCUCGCUGUCCUCCAAGCCAGAGGUGGUGUUGUGGUAAGUCAGCUUCGGCUGAUCGUCCUCAUCGUCGCCGUGGUACGAGUCCAAAUCCUGUGAGAGACGAAAACAAUGAUGAUGUCGUUUAGUUAUACUCGUAACAUAAACACAAGAGCAGCUCAUAACCAGAGGUUCAGGUGGGGGAGGAUGAUGUUAAUAAUGACAUAGCCUUAAA
This is a long non-coding RNA of Ictalurus punctatus (channel catfish), 434 nucleotides long. The record is from Ensembl. NCBI's taxonomy places the organism in Eukaryota, Metazoa, Chordata, Actinopteri, Siluriformes, Ictaluridae.